AUGUGAGAAAAUUCAAGGAUCAUCUCUAUAGUUCAUUACUAGGGAAGUUCUCUGACUGUGUAAAGUACCAGAAACCAUGAGAUUUGGUGUAGCAUUCUCUCUUGAGCCUGAAGCUGGCUUUUGGUGUUGCUUUGCUGCAACUGCGACUGGCCAUUAAUGAUUGUUCUUGCUCUCCUUCACAAGAGUUGGAGGGAGAGGAUGUCAUGUGAGUGU
Molecule: small nucleolar RNA, 213 nt
Organism: Jaculus jaculus (lesser Egyptian jerboa)
Lineage: Eukaryota; Metazoa; Chordata; Mammalia; Rodentia; Dipodidae
Gene: U3
Rfam family: Small nucleolar RNA U3
About the family: Small nucleolar RNAs (snoRNAs) are involved in the processing and modification of rRNA in the nucleolus. There are two main classes of snoRNAs: the box C/D class, and the box H/ACA class. U3 snoRNA is a member of the box C/D class.
Source: Ensembl